CAGUCGAACGAAGCAUUUAAGACAGAUUACUUCGGUUUGAAGUCUUUUAUGACUCAGUGGCGGACGGGUGAGUAACGCGUGGGUAACCUGCCUCAUACAGGGGGAUAGCAGCUGGAAACGGCUGGUAAUACCGCAUAAGCGCACAGUACCACAUGGUACAGUGUGAAAAACUCCGGUGGUAUGAGAUGGACCCGCGUCUGAUUAGCUUGUUGGCGGGGUAACGGCCCACCAAGGCGACGAUCAGUAGCCGACCUGAGAGGGUGACCGGCCACAUUGGGACUGAGACACGGCCCAGACUCCUACGGGAGGCAGCAGUGGGGAAUAUUGCACAAUGGAGGAAACUCUGAUGCAGCGACGCCGCGUGAGUGAAGAAGUAGUUCGCUAUGUAAAGCUCUAUCAGCAGGGAAGAUAGUGACGGUACCUGACUAAGAAGCUCCGGCUAAAUACGUGCCAGCAGCCGCGGUAAUACGUAUGGAGCAAGCGUUAUCCGGAUUUACUGGGUGUAAAGGGAGUGUAGGUGGCCAGGCAAGUCAGAAGUGAAAGCCCGGGGCUCAACCCCGGGAUUGCUUUUGAAACUGCAGGGCUAGAGUGCAGGAGGGGCAAGUGGAAUUCCUAGUGUAGCGGUGAAAUGCGUAGAUAUUAGGAGGAACACCAGUGGCGAAGGCGGCUUGCUGGACUGUAACUGACACUGAGGCUCGAAAGCGUGGGGAGCAAACAGGAUUAGAUACCCUGGUAGUCCACGCCGUANACGAUGAAUACUAGGUGUCGGGGCNCAUAAGUGCUCCGGUGCCGCAGCAAACGCAAUAAGUAUUCCACCUGGGGAGUACGUUC
RNAcentral lists this ribosomal RNA (831 nucleotides) under uncultured bacterium. RNAcentral describes it as "bacterial SSU rRNA". It matches the Rfam family "Bacterial small subunit ribosomal RNA", at positions 59 to 887 of the family's 1533-position model. The record is from RNAcentral.